GUAGCACAGGGAAGCAGGUGAAAUUCGCAUUAGGUGAGAAACUCAGAAACUACCGUGCGACUUGGUAAAAGUGAAUGGACAGGUGUCUAGAAGAUAAACACAGUUAGGGGAGUUGUGAAGCUAGUCAUACUCCGUCGACAAAAACUACCUUAAACACCAUUUAAACGAAACAAGAGAGUUAUCCGUUUGCUGGCUUCUUGUUUUCAAGUAUUAAUUAUAUCAGCUAACUAUUUUUGUAAGGCUAGUUGGCUAGCUAGCAGCGAUGGAGAGAGGAGAUGGGGAUUUUUGACAACAAACAAAACGACCCAGCAACAAGCAUUGUAUGACAUGGAUACUUCAUCUCCUUGAAAGAAAGGAGAAUGGACUUUGACGUCAAAUAACAUUCUGCUGCCAGUGCUGUAGCUAGCAGAUAAUGUGUAGUCGAGUCUGAGGGUUGCCAGAUCAUCAGGAACGAUCAGCCCAGUUCCCGUUCUGCAACAAAGAAGUAUCAUAAAAUGAUUAUUUAUGUGGACACUUGAGUGAACUGAAGGGACUGCAAUCAAUGUACCUGUACUGUAUAUCAGAUAUUAAACAAAAACUCCAUAGUCUUAAAGCUGUACAAAUUUAACAUCAUACUGUAGAUACAUAUACAAUGCACAAUUUAAAUGUUUAAUUUAAUAUAUUUAAUUUCCAAACUGUCAAUUAAACAUGCAUGCAGCUGCACACUUUUUUGCUGCCUGAGUUACAGGUUAGUGUUUUGUCAUUGGACAAAUUAAAGAGAA
Molecule: long non-coding RNA, 761 nt
Organism: Thunnus maccoyii (southern bluefin tuna)
Lineage: Eukaryota; Metazoa; Chordata; Actinopteri; Scombriformes; Scombridae
Exons: 3
Source: RefSeq, a predicted model, not a curated record